AAUGAGGGGAACUCAGGGAACUGAAACAUCUAAGUACCUGAAGGAAGAGAAAGAAAUUCGAUUCCGUAAGUAGCGGCGAGCGAACGCGGAUUAGCCCAAACCAAUAAAGUUUUCUUUAUUGGGGUUGCGGACAUAUCAUAACGAAGAGAUAUCGUAAUUGAAGAGGUUUGGAAAGACCCACCACAGAAGGUAAUAGUCCUGUAUGUUAAACGAGAAGACUUUAGAUAUGAUCCAGAGUACCACGGGACACGUGAAACCCUGUGGGAAGCAGGAGGGACCACCCUCCAAGGCUAAAUACUACCUAGUGACCGAUAGCGUAUAGUACCGUGAGGGAAAGGUGAAAAGAACCCCGGGAGGGGAGUGAAAUAGAACCUGAAACCCUGCGCUUACAAGCUGUGGAAGCACAUUUCUUGUGUGACCGCGUACUUUUGUAGAACGGGCCAACGAGUUACGUUAAGUAGCAAGGUUAAGCACUUAAGGUGUGGAGCCGUAGCGAAAGCGAGUUUUAACUGAGCGUUCAGUUACUUGACGUAGACCCGAAACCGGGCGACCUACCCAUGAGCAGGAUGAAGCGAAAGUAAAAUUUCGUGGAGGUCCGAACCCACGAGCG
RNAcentral lists this ribosomal RNA (610 nucleotides) under Clostridioides difficile. Its description in RNAcentral is "partial 23S ribosomal RNA". It matches the Rfam family "Bacterial large subunit ribosomal RNA", at positions 173 to 788 of the family's 2925-position model. The record is from RNAcentral. Lineage: Bacteria; Bacillati; Bacillota; Clostridia; Peptostreptococcales; Peptostreptococcaceae.